ACCCGCCGAAUUUAAGCAUAUCAAUAAGCGGAGGAAAAGAAACUAACAAGGAUUCCCUUAGUAACGGCGAGCGAAGUGGGAAGAGCUCGAGCCUAAAAUCACUGGCAGUCACUGCCAGAGAAUUGUGGCCGGGAGAGGCAGCGGUGCCCUGACUGAUGCUGUUGAAGUUGACCUGGAAAGGCACGUCAGAGAGGGUGAGAGCCCCGUGCGUGACACUGUCGGGAAGGGCUGCUACUGUCUUCGGAGAGUCGGGUUGUUUGGGAAUGCAGCCCAAAGUGGGUGGUAAACUCCAUCUAAAGCUAAAUACUGGCACGAGACCGAUAGCGAACAAGUACCAUGAGGGAAAGGUGAAAAGUACUUUGAAAAGAGAGUCAAAAAGACCGCGAAACCGUUAGGAGGGAAGCGAAU
RNAcentral lists this ribosomal RNA (408 nucleotides) under Timea sp. CB-2004. RNAcentral's name for it is "eukaryotic LSU rRNA". It matches the Rfam family "Eukaryotic large subunit ribosomal RNA", at positions 23 to 424 of the family's 3401-position model. Lineage: Eukaryota; Metazoa; Porifera; Demospongiae; Tethyida; Timeidae. The record is from RNAcentral.